GCGGAGGUUCUCGAGCGGUCAAAGAGGCUAGACUGAGGUUCUAGUGCGUAGAGCUCCGAGGGUUCGAAUCCCUCCCUCCGCA
This 82-nucleotide transfer RNA is filed under the name Candidatus Thorarchaeota archaeon. RNAcentral's name for it is "tRNA-Leu". It matches the Rfam family "tRNA". Rfam says of the family: Transfer RNA (tRNA) molecules are approximately 80 nucleotides in length. The record is from RNAcentral. Lineage: Archaea; Promethearchaeati; Candidatus Thorarchaeota. RNAcentral also lists the same sequence under 1 other name.